This 645-nucleotide ribosomal RNA is filed under the name Escherichia coli. Its description in RNAcentral is "partial 23S ribosomal RNA". It matches the Rfam family "Bacterial large subunit ribosomal RNA", at positions 548 to 1194 of the family's 2925-position model. The record is from RNAcentral. Lineage: Bacteria; Pseudomonadati; Pseudomonadota; Gammaproteobacteria; Enterobacterales; Enterobacteriaceae.
ACCUGAAACCGUGUACGUACAAGCAGUGGGAGCACGCUUAGGCGUGUGACUGCGUACCUUUUGUAUAAUGGGUCAGCGACUUAUAUUCUGUAGCAAGGUUAACCGAAUAGGGGAGCCGAAGGGAAACCGAGUCUUAACUGGGCGUUAAGUUGCAGGGUAUAGACCCGAAACCCGGUGAUCUAGCCAUGGGCAGGUUGAAGGUUGGGUAACACUAACUGGAGGACCGAACCGACUAAUGUUGAAAAAUUAGCGGAUGACUUGUGGCUGGGGGUGAAAGGCCAAUCAAACCGGGAGAUAGCUGGUUCUCCCCGAAAGCUAUUUAGGUAGCGCCUCGUGAAUUCAUCUCCGGGGGUAGAGCACUGUUUCGGCAAGGGGGUCAUCCCGACUUACCAACCCGAUGCAAACUGCGAAUACCGGAGAAUGUUAUCACGGGAGACACACGGCGGGUGCUAACGUCCGUCGUGAAGAGGGAAACAACCCAGACCGCCAGCUAAGGUCCCAAAGUCAUGGUUAAGUGGGAAACGAUGUGGGAAGGCCCAGACAGCCAGGAUGUUGGCUUAGAAGCAGCCAUCAUUUAAAGAAAGCGUAAUAGCUCACUGGUCGAGUCGGCCUGCGCGGAAGAUGUAACGGGGCUAAACCAUGCAC